UCAUACCAUAGUUUCUUUUUUAAUAUUUUUCAAAAAGUAACUGACUUCACAAACACCAACUAUAACAUGAUUUAGACAACUGAGAAACAGGCAAGUGUACUUUUGAAGGCUAAAAUAAAACACAUUUAUACAAGUACAAAGCAAAACAAUGCUGAUAAAAAUGUUAAACUUUAUGAAAAAAAAUCAUUUGCAAUUCACAUCAAAAUAAUUUAACAUUCUCUAUUGUUUUAAUAGUACAAGCUGCAACAACAGAAAAAGAACAGAUACGCGCACACAAUUUUAAAACCAAAUCCGUUAAAGUGCAGAAAAAAGUAAGUACAAGCACUUGUAGCCCACACAAAUCUUUUAGGAUUGGCACCAUCUCUCUAAAACAUCUAUAUUCUAUAUAGAUUUCUAAUUACAACACCACCAGCAGCUGCCAUUGAAUUCUAGAAAUACACACAAUAUACAUAGUAUAUUUGUUCACAUUGGGAAGAUCAGUGAAAUUCAGCCAACUAUUUUAUACAUGCCUCACUCUUCAACAGAUAGUAGAGAAUCUCCCAGGCCUCAGACCCUCUUAAAAGUGAAUUUCAAUUUAUCUUUAUGUUUUUCACUGAUCUGUAUUUUUUUCACAGUAUAAAAUUGUAAAUGGUAACUAUAGAGAUUCUGACAGCUUGAGGGUUAUUAAUAAGCUGUGGCUAAAUGUGAACUCAGAUAAUACUUUUGAAGUCUCCAAAACAUGUACAUUUUGCUGGGAGACUAGCAUAGGAAAUGGGUUUUUUUGUUUUUGUUUUUUUGUUUUUUGUUUUUUCUUAAAAAGUGGUUAAUUUCUGGUUUGGAAGUCACAGAACUGCAGCAGAGCCAUUACACAAUUCAUUCACAGUCAGAAAUAGCUCCUAGUCUUCCUGAUCACUUGCUGGUAACAGCAGAAGUUUGGGAAAGACUUUUACUAACAAGGAUUAGUACAUUCGGGGAUUUACUGUUUUUCUUUACUUCAGUCAAAUCUCAUAUGGUUUUCCUUUGCGUACUCCCUUCUGCUCCCCACCCCUAACCCAGAGAGAAGCUUCUUCCCAAUCCACAUAGGGUCUUCUCAGGCUGCCCCUACUCCUCUCCCAGAACAGAAGAGUGAGUGGACUCCUUAGAUGGUCCAUAUAACUCGAUCAAAGUAGGUCUUCUUCUUUUCAUCCUUGGACCAAACUGUCCUUUAGGGUCACUUUUCUGAAUCUCAGCAUUUCACUCUCUUUUCCCCUUCCUUUUAGUCAUGCUGGUCCAACUGAGUGAUCACUGGGCACCAGGAACAGACUGUUUUCAAGGAAAUUCAAUGAAAAUAGGUACCCAAAUGAAUUGCGAAGUUCAUAUCCUAGCCCUAGAAUGAAUAUUCAGUUUUCCUUGUAGAUUUAUUACUUGGAACCUGGUAUUAGAAUUGGCAAAGAGACAGAGUUAGCAUCAUUCCAAAAUAAAAGAUCCCAAAAGUGCAUUACUAAUAUUAUGCAUUAUAGAAUGUAUUGAAUGAAGGGCAAAGGGCAUAAAAACACAGAGAAAAGUACACCUUGUUCUCCUCUAAUUGGAUGAAUAUUUUUCUUAUUACAGUUGAUUAUAAUUUCAUAUGGCAUUAUCAGACAGCAAUUUAUUUGUAUUACAUUUUAAUUUCUGAUGAAUUUUCUCAUAAAGUGGUGUAUUUUUUUAAAGAAAUAUGUUACUAAAAAUUUAGAAGAGAAAUUUGAUCAUGGAGAAAGUUUUUUAAAAAUAUUCUGUUGGUCAACACGGUGAAACUUACACUUGAGAAUAAAAUGGAAAUCAACCUAAAGUCAUGGGAAACGAAUUUAAAACUUAGUUGAGUAUAUUUGGAAAGGUUUCAAUGUUUAAGAAAUCAAAAUGGUAAUCCUCAGGUGAAUGCCACCCUUUUCAUGAGGAUUGAAGGGUGUUAAUCAAAAUAUUUACAUUUGUUUUUUAAGUAGAGGCAGAGUUCACGUUCAAUGAAACUAUAAAGCUUAGCUAAAUUCACUCUGCUUCAAGAGUCUCAUUAUAACAUGUGGGUUCAGGGUGCUCUGAUGAUAUUUUCAAAUGUGGUAUGGUAAGUUUGAUUUUCAAGUUUAUAUUUUAGUAAACUAAUAUCAGCUUUUAACAUUUUAUACUGGGACAUUUGAUUUUAAAUUUAAUAUAAGAACAGAUAUAAGUAAAGGAAAAUCAAGAAGUAUAUUUCCUAUAACUUUUAAAAGUGGGGCAUGAUAAAUUACACCAAUGGAUAUAUUUCCAUUUCUCAAUUCCUUUUUUAAAGUAUAUAUGAAAUAAAAAAAUACAUGCCAAUAUAAGGAUAUUGAGCUCAAGGAAAAAGGUUUCAUUUAUUUUUCUUUCUGCUAAAAAUAUACUUCUGCCUCACAGCAAAUCUUUUUCAUAAGGCUAGCUUUAGUAUAAGGCUGGAUCAACUGAACUUUAAAUUUAUAGGACACCUCCUCCUUUUAUUACUAUCUUUAUUUUAAAAUUUAAAAUGAAACGAAACGAAACGAAACCAAACCAAACCAAAACAACACAAAAAAACAUUUGGCACCUGAGGACAACUGUAAUGAGAAGAAGAAAGAGAUGACUGUGGAUGCAGGUCUUGAGCUAUGAAUUCUACCUAUAUGAGCCUAUUAAAGCACAUGUAUUUCUAGUAUAUCUUUAAAUCUCUUUUCUGCAGUAUUUAAAAAGUGACAGUAUGAAGUGCACAAAAUCAUAUUAAUAAUUAUUUUAAAAAGGAAAUACUAAUAAUUGCUUUGCCUCUUUUUGGAAUGGCUAAGAGACUGUGUGGUUUAUAUUCAUUAAGGUUCCUCUGUUUUAAUAUUCUGUAUUGCUUUGAAAAAUCUACAUUUGUCAUAGUUCAUAGCUGCCCUCUUUAAGCAGCCAAAAAAAGUUAAAAUCACUGCUCACUGGCAUAGCUAAAUCUCUGCUAAGCCGACUUGACACAGUUUAAAAUUUCCAGCGUAUUAAGAUUGUGUUAACUUUUUGAACAACAGUCCCUCUAAUCAUGUCGCUGUCUUCGCUGGGUCUAUAGACCAUUCUUCCAGUGGUGGGACUUGGAAAGAACAGAGGAGCUCUUUGUGCAUCAGGUUCUCAAAAGAAAGGAAUGGAGAAGCCCAAAUGCAUAUUUUAAUAUUUUAGCUGGCAAUGCUAAUGGAACAGCAUUCAUAAGGAGGAGUGGCCACAUUUCAUGAAAGUGAUAGCCAAGCUGGAGCUCAGGAAUUAUUAUUAUUAUAAAGAGAAUUUCCAGCUACACAACGGUACCCCAGUGAGGGAAUUACAAAACAGUAUUCCAGAAAAUAUUUUUUUGCUACUCCAGUAUUGAUUGGCAACAUGGUGAAAUAGUCAAGAAAUCUUCCAUUGGUUUUCUUGGUUAAUGGAGGUGAAUUGAAAUAACUAGGUGGACUCCCGGAUGCAGGCUUUUCAAAGAGGAUUUCAAAACCAAAUUGGAGAGGAAUGUCUCUGGUAAAAGCCUUAUACACAUCAGCGCAGCACUCAUUAUCCAGUUGUGUGUUAUGCAUGGGACACACUCACAACAAUGCCUCAGUAAAUACUGGGCCCAAGUUACUGCUUUUCCAAGUCUUUAAAGGACAGAAAAAAAAGAAAAAAAAAAAAACGGAAAAAAAACCCAAAAAACAAAAAAAGAGAGCGAAAGGUUGAUGUUUUGGUCCCAGAUUUUGAGUUUGUUAGAAAAUGUACAUUCAUGUUUGGUGAAUCAAAGAAUCUUCUGGGAAAAGAAUUAAAGUAAACAAACAAAACUUUGUACAGUUGCUUAAUAAGUAUGCUUUUCCCCCUCCAUUAUGCUGUUACACACUCAUUGCUUCCCUAGAGCAAAGCACUUGGUAUGGAACUGGUUCAACAGACUCUUGUCAGCCCUCAAAAAUAUAAGCAGUGUUUCUUAAAAGCCCAUGUUUUCUAAGGCCACUAGAAGAAAAUCUGCCAAAGGAUUUGUGGUCGGUGUCUUCGUCGGUUGAUGUUAAAUAGCACUAUUAAUCUCGUGUUUCCAUUACGGGUGUACUUGGCAUCUUCCACCUCGGGUCUUAACCAGGCGACUAUGCUUGUCACUGUGUCUGCGUGAACACGGGAGGUCUUGGCUCCCUUGGCGGAACCCAGCGUGGUUUCCAAUGACAUUCACAACGACGAGGAGCUCUGAGUGUAAUCUCUUAUGAUAAGUGUGUCAUAUUUGGGAGACGAAGGGAUACAGAGGGCCGACUCCGACACUGGCGAGUUGGGGGUUGUACUCCCCGAGUCCACCGAGUCUCUGAAGGGGGACGGCGGGGUGAGAGCCACCAGCUCUUCCAGGUCCGGCUUGCCGGCUGCAGCUUCCGGCCCGGCCGUCGGCGUCUCCCGAGCAGCGCCCCCAGCCGGCGGGGCCGCCGCCGCGGGCUGCGCGCCGCCCGUGACCUCGAUGNNNNNNNNNNNNNNNNNNNNNNNNNNNNNNNNNNNNNNNNNNNNNNNNNNNNNNNNNNNNNNNNNNNNNNNNNNNNNNNNNNNNNNNNNNNNNNNNNNNNNNNNNNNNNNNNNNNNNNNNNNNNNNNNNNNNNNNNNNNNNNNNNNNNNNNNNNNNNNNNNNNNNNNNNNNNNNNNNNNNNNNNNNNNNNNNNNNNNNNNNNNNNNNNNNNNNNNNNNNNNNNNNNNNNNNNNNNNNNNNNNNNNNNNNNNNNNNNNNNNNNNNNNNNNNNNNNNNNNNNNNNNNNNNNNNNNNNNNNNNNNNNNNNNNNNNNNNNNNNNNNNNNNNNNNNNNNNNNNNNNNNNNNNNNNNNNNNNNNNNNNNNNNNNNNNCCCGCGCCGCCCGCGGCCCCCGCGCCACCGCCCGCGCCGCCUGCGCCCAGGCCGCGGCUCUCCGUGCUCUUGGGGAAGGGCUUGAUGACGGCCGUUUGGUUGGGGUUCUCUUUCUUGUUGAUGUGGAUGGACAGCCGCUGCCACAGGUGCUGCCCCCGGCUGCUCUUCUCGUUCUGGGCCCACGUGACGGAUUUGCCAUUGGAGCUGCGGAGAGAAGGGAGACUAGAGGUGACUCAGAGGUUCAGGGGGAGCGGGUCCCCAGCCCUGGGUUAUGGAUUGGGAAGGACGGCGUCAAAGGACACCUCCAGAGAUCAUGGAAGCGGCAUUUGUUUCCUUGUUUUGAGUUAAAGGCCGCUUUAUUGUAUUGGCCUUGCCUUUAUCCUUACCAUGAAAGUGUAUCAGAGGGGAGAGUAGUAAGUAAGGGUCGAGGAGUAUUUAUGGAGAUUCUGCAGUAGUUCUGAGCAGCAGCUGGUUAUGUUGCAAACCUAGAAGCCAGGGCCUGGAUUAUUAUGGUGCCAUUGAGCAGAAGCACCUGGUACAGGGCAAGGGCUUCCUGCAGUUGGCAGCCUCUGAAAGGAAAACUUGGAACUAGAACAACUAACCAACCCAAACACAAGAGGGCAGGGAAAGCGUUGGGGUCAAGGGUUACCAGGCAAUAGACAGUGGUUCCAGUUCAGUUUUUAUUCUGCGAGCCAAUGAUUGGUGUAUUUGGCUAGGGAUUUCUGUUUGAAUUCCUGACCUUGAACAUGGUUUUAGUUAGUCUGCCUUAUCUGCUGGAAAACAGAAAUUCAAGAAACACAUAUACAAAGUUCUAAUCAAUUAGAGCUUUUCUACUUCACCCACAUUUUCCUCACAAAUUUAUUUUUAGGCCUAAAACUUGAAUAACAGUUCUGUGAGGGAGCAUAUUGCCUCUGGCACCUAGCAUAUUGCUUUCCAACUAGGGUCUUGAUGAGUGUUACCUGACAUGAUUUCCUACGGCCUUUCUCCCUCUUCCCUUUCCCUAAGCAGUGCAUUUUGGUCCUGCAGCAUGAGGUCUGAAAGCUGCUCUGAUGGUACAAUUGGCGCCUGAGCCUCAGAUCCUGACUGUGUCCUCCUUACUAUUAAAUAUGACACAACCUCUAAAUCUACAGACCCUCUGUCAGAAACCUCACUUAUGGUCAGAGAAUGUGGCCUGACCUUCAGGGAUGUUCUAUGGAGAGACCUCGGGUGAUGGCUCAUCACAAAGAAAUCCAAGAUCUCUGUAACUAGGGGGUCUGUUUUGUCCAGACAGCUCUGCCCUAGGUGCUGUGACCAGGAGAUAGCCUUGGACAGUCUAUGACCCAAGGCUUUGACCACCCAACUUUAUCAUCUCGGCCAGUGGUGAUUAAACUUAAUUGUGCCUAAAACUCACCUAGGGUAUUUGUCAAAUAGCCCAGGCAGGACCCCAGAAGAUUCUGAUCACCUAGAUAAGGUUCCAAAGAUCUAUGCAUUUUGUAAGCACUCCAUCCCCAAAGAAGCUGUCCUUUCUUUCUGGGUUCCCAUUGCUCCCUUGGCCUCCUUGCUGGACGGCCUUUGCCUGGCAGGGGGCUGAAUUGUAUUUGGAGCUCACUUGCCUUGCGGCUACCGGACUGCAACUGCCAGAUCCACUCUGCCUGAGAUACCUAUGCCUUUGAUAACAGAUCUCUGUUUCUGCAGUUCCUAUAACAGGAUGCUUUCUGUCUCUUUCCCAUACUGCUUCUCAUUUCUUCCAUCUUUCCUUUUCCUCUUUGUGGUCUUCCUUUUUCUGCUCUUUCCUCUGAAAUCUCAUUCCACUUAAUCUACCCAAUAGUUUGCAACCUGGUGUCCUUUAGAAUUCUGGAAUGUGAUAUGUCCCCCACCCCUGCCCCUCUUCCUGUGAAGGAUGGAUCAAUUAUUUCCAGGUUUGGAGGUUGCUGUACAUCCACGGUAGCAGAAUGGGCCCUGCCAAACCUAGCUUUCCUUUCCAGGAGAGUUUCAGGAAAGGAAUGUUUCUACGUUUUGCAUUAACCUGACCUGCCACCUUUUAUGUUUUUAGUGCAUUACUUUCUUCUUCCUAGGUGUCUACUGAGUUCUGGAACAUGGCACAGAAGAAAUGGGCCAGACUAUUUAUGGGAUUUGAUUGGGAGGAUGGUUGCCAACAACCCCCUUUCUCUCCUACUAGCAAGGUAAGAAACAUGCAUGUUGGAAAGGAAAAUUAGUCGUUCAGGUUGCUGAGGCCACUUUUAAUACAAAGCUUGGGCUAUAAACUAGCAGCUUAACUGGAUUUAUCCUACUAAGCUUUACUCUAGGAAAGUUCUUGCUCCCAACAUGGAGAGGUUUUGAUGGAACAUAACUCUGGGUAUUAACAGUGUCAGUCUUUGGAAUCACAUGCAGUAGUGCCUAAAAACUUGACAGCAGAUGGAAAAGCCUUUGGAUGAAUGUGUGAGAAGGAAACUAUCCUAACCAGCCAAUUUGCACAAAAUACUGACAUUUUUCCUGGCCAUGCCUUUGCUCAUUGUGUCCAUGGUCAUUUGGGAGAGAGAGCGCCAAACAAUCUGAAUACCAAUGGAAAUGGACACAGGAGACACCAGAGAAAUGGAGUCCAAAUGUAAGUACCUCAUUUCAUUCCUUGGGUCAUGAAAGGUUUUUUACUCCAAAAUAAAUGAGAACUUUUUAAAAAGUUUUUUUUUUAAAUCCUGACUUAUGACAUUAAUCUGUUUAUUAGUAGAAUGUAGUUUCCACAGGAAACAGACAGGAAACUAAUCUAUCUUGUUCAUUAGCACACAGGAUGUUAAUAAGCAUUUGAUGGACGAAUAGGAUUCUUAAGCUAACCAGUCUUAAGAACCAUUGUGUGGUGUCCUGGAAAGUGCAAUGGACAAAGGACCCUCAAAUCUGGAUUCUAAUCCUGGAUCUGCCAUCCUGGAUGCUUGGAAAACAAUAGUCUCUAAGAUUUGGUAAAAAGCAGAGAGCAAUCCUUUGGUGAAAGCUGUCAUGAGGAUUAAAUGAGACCAUAUAGAUGAAAGCUUCUUGUAAGGAGAGGGUAUCUAAGAGUGUUAAUUUUUGCAUUCUAUGUGAACACUACAUUUCAGAAAAUAAAAACAGUAUACUUGUGGUUUUGAGCUCUGGUUGAGAAACAAAGAAUUCAAUACAAAGUAAAAUAUGUAGUAAAGCCAAAAAAUAUUUUUGGUUGUUCCUCCUUAACCUGACCAACUGUACCAAGAAUUGGAGUUCCAUCGGGUUUGCUCUGUUGGGGUUUUUUCCAUGCUAAUUUGUCUCCUUGGUGAUCAAAUCCACUCCACUAAAUUCUGCAUUAUUUCUCUUCCACAGUUUACUUCUUCCUGAAAUGCUCUUUCAUUGUGCUCCCUCCUCUCUGCCGUUUUCUUUCUUUUGCCUAAGCUCUUACCAUUUUUUUUUUAUUUUAUCUUAAUUGCUUUUAUUUGAGAGAAGCAUUCCUGACCCCAUCCCGACUAGGUUAGAUUCCCAGAGUCCUUUCAUUAGGCACUUAAUAACUCUUUGCUGUAUAUCUACCUCACCUGCUGGGUGGAGUGUUCUGAGGGUACAGACAGAGGGUUCUUUGUUUUCUGUUAUAUCCAUAGUACCUCGUGCAUUGCCUAGAACAUGUUAUGUGCUCAAUAAUAUUUUGAACUAAUAACUGAGUGGAUAAGUGAAUUUGAUUUAAAAAAAUCCAUACUGAAUUGUUUUUGGUAGAAUUAAGUUUUAAAAAUAAUUCAAUAGUAAAAAAUAAUUCAUUGUUAAUGAAAUUCUGUUUUGUCUUAUGAAUCAAUCUUUUUAUAAACUCACUGUAAUCAAUAGUACUUAGUACAUAUUUCAUUAACCAAGUACAAGAACACAGAUCUUCAUCUCUACUGUGAAAAUCAUAAAGGAAGUAUUUGUUCCUUUUCUGUAACUUAUAUGUAUAUGUAUCUGUGUGUGUGUGUGUGUGUGUGUGUGUGUGUGUGUGUAGUGAAACUUCUUAUUGAUUAAAGCUUAUGGAGGCAGUAUGGAUAGUAGACCCAGAAUGUGGGUUUAAGGUAUGGCCCUCAGUGAUGUUGGGCAAAUCACUUAACACUUUUGCACCUCUUUGUUCUUUGGUAAAAAAUGGAAGAAAUAAACCUCUCCUGCUCACCUCACAUGAUUUCUGGAAGAAACUAAAUGGUGGUACACGUGAGGGUACUUUAUAAAGCAUAGUACCUCUGCAGACCUCACCAUCAAAUCUUCCGGGGUGCCUGGGUAGCUCAGUCAGUUAAGCAUCUGACUUCGGCUCAGGUCAUGAUCUCGCAGUUCGUGAGUUCAGGCCCUGUGUCAGGCUCUGUCCUGACAGCUCAGAGCCUGGAGCCUACUUCGGAUUCUGUGUCUCCCUCUCUCUCUGCCCCUCCCUGCUCAUGCUCUGUCUCUCUGUUUUUCUCUCUCUCAAAAAAACAAAAACAAAAACAAUAAAAACAAAUAAAUAAACCUUAGAAAAAUCUUCCAAUCACUUGAGGUAAAAUCUUUAUUAUUAUUGUUGUUGUUAUUACUGAGAACUUUUUUUUUUUUUAAACAUCAGGAUUAUACAUUUUUCCUAAGGACCCUCAGGUAAGAAAAGGGAAAGCAAACUUUUCCGUACUGGUCUAUAGCACUUGACUUUCCCCACUGAAUAUUUUGGACAUUAGAAAAGAAGGAGGAGGAGAGAGGAGUGGAGGAAAGAAACAGAAUACAUGGUUUGCUACACCUGGAAAGGAGGACAAUUUGGCAAAAAAACAAAAAAAAAACAAAAAAAAAACCAAAAAAAAAACCAUAAAAACUUUGUGCUCUUUCCAGGUACCAGUUAACCCUUUAUCAAAUAUAAUACUGCAUAAUUUACUACUAUGACAAUUUGUUCUUUAUUUCUUGGGGGAAGGUGCAUUUUGAUCAUGUUAUUUAAGACUUAGGUUUUUUUGUUUACAUUUGUGUCUGCCAAAAUGACACCUUCUACCUUUAUUCUUAGAAGUUUUUUUUUUUUUUCCCCCAGGGUCAGCCAGGAGAGAGGAAUAGUAGGAUAAUGAGUUUCCUAAUACAAAAAAAAAAUACUUAAAAAAAUUUUUUUUAAAGCUUGUAAUGUCACUAGCAAAUAUGUCUUUGGAAUGACUUCAGAAAAUACUAGGCCAAAAAAACAAUUUCAUGAAUUAAGAAUAUUAUAAGUAGAAAGUUUCCAAUUGCAGUUCCAUUUUCUGUACAUUUUCUUAAGCUUUUUAUCAAUAUAUUUUGAGUUGCAAAGUAUGGAAAUAAAGUUUUUAAAAGAUAAUGAGGAAUUGGAUAUUGUUUAUAUCCAGACAUUCUAAAUUAGGUGGGACAAUUUCUUUCUGAGCCUUGCCUAAAAUAUGACAUCUUGAUUAUGACAAUUACACUGAGAAAUACACCAUAAUAUAUAAGAAAAUGAUAGAAUCAUCUAUAUAAAUUUCCCCAGUUAAGCAUAAAUGGGUAUAAAUAGCCAUAUCACUGACAAAAAAAAAUAAAUGGCUGCGAUGACAUAUGCAUUAGAAAUAUAUGUACAGACAAAAACACUUGAGUAAAUGAAAAUGAAUUAUCUACCAAAGACACAAUAAUCAAAGCAAUAUCACCUUAUAUUUGCAUAGUGCUUUAAAACUACUUUUCCGGACACUGAUUGUCAAGGGUAGAUAGGAUCAAUGUCUUUGUCCUCCUUCCAAAAAUAAGAAAAUUGAGGCUCAGUGAGAUAGGUGAUUUGCCCAAAGUUAAGCAGUUAGAUAAUAGCAACCUGGGACCAAUACUAUCUCAUGAUUUCCAAUUCCAUUUUUCCUGACAGUACAAUGUCCCAUCUUUGCUUUGUGAAGUGAGCUGUCCUUAUUUCACGGAAUAGAAGACCUCUGGUGUUACCUGGUGAUGAUGUGUGUUUUUAAGUAGAAACAUUAGUCAUUUGAUUUACAUUCUCUAUUACCAUGUCUUUGUACUUCUUAAUCAUCUACUUUGAGGUCUCAAGAAAGCACCCUAUAUCACUCUUUGGCCUCAAAUAGCACAGGUUGAUCAAGCACUUAUAUUUGUCAAAGAUAAUGACUGGAUGCCUCAAUAAUGAAGGCACUUGAAGCUUACAACCAUAUAAAUAUUAUAUGGCAAUUUUCAGCCCCUCUUUUUUUCCCCAUGCUGUGAUCUGGUAAAAGACAGUUGUCCUAUAUAAGGACAGCCCUAAUAAAUGUAGCCCACUUAUUUUCUCUCUGACUUACUUUGAAAUACCACUAAAAAGAAUGGUAUAAAUUUGAGGAUAACCUUAAAUCUGCACUAUUUUGCAAAUUUUGGUAUUUCAACUAAUAGUGGUAAUAAAUGAUAAUGUGAUACCUUUGCAAAUGAUUGUGAUUCAUCAGUACUUUUUAAAUUUUUUUUAAUGUUUAUUUAUUUUUGAGAGAGAGAAAGACAGAGCAUGAGUAGGGGAAAGGGCAGAGAGAAAGGGAGACACAGAAUCCAAAGCAGGCUCCAGGCUCUGAGCUGUCAGCAUAAAGCCCGACACGGGGCUCAAAGCCACAAACCAUGCAUGAGAUCAUGACCUGAGCUGAAGUUGGAUGCUUAACUAACUGAGCCACCCAGGUGCCCCUAUUCAUCAGUACUUUUUGAUAUUCUGGCGGUGAGUUACUGAUAUGAGACUUGCCUCAAAGAGGGCAAGAGUAAAGAUGCACAUAGUAAGGCUAGCAAUAUGAGUUACUCAUAGUAUUUUGAUAGGAGGGUUAUUUUUCUUUUUCUUAGGACCUUGAAAUGAGGAAGUAGAUGGGCAGGUGGAAUGUUGCUAAGGGCAAAGCCUGAGAGAUUGUGGAGCAUGGAAACAAGUAGUUCAUGGGGUAACUAACUAUAGGGUACAGAUCACAAGGGAUUCAAAACUUCACAACAAGAAGAAACUUUCCAGCAGGAGGGGAGGGGCCAGGGAAUGAUGCUUGUGUACAAGAGACAGAUUGAAUCUACACCUUGAAAAAUUAGUAGAUUAUGGCAAAAUCCAAAAGGAGCAGUAGGCAUUGGCAUCCAGGAAAAAUAGCAGUGACAUAGGUUCAGGAAUCCAUAAGGAUAUUCUAAGAUAAUCAGUAGUCCAGUUUGACUAGGUGGGGAUGGAGAAUAAGUGGAAGCAUCAGGAGUAGAGUUGGGACAUUUUUGUCUGCUGUAAAAAUUCUUUGUGGUCACCCCUGACCUACAAGGAUCUUCCUUCUUUUCCUUUCUUUUGCUAUUUUAAUAACUAAUUCAUAAUUAACCUUGGACUUGUUAGACUCUGGGAUAGAUAGAUGGUCUAAUAUAGUUGACCAGAGAAAUGGUCUAAUUAUUAGAUAUAUAUGAAAUCUACAUGCUAGAUCAAUAGAUGAAUGAAUAUAUAAACAAAUACUCAUGAGUUAUUUUCUAUGUUAUUUAAGUGCAGGAAUUAUUUUUUGUUAUUUAGUAUUUUAUAUAUUUGGUAUUUCUCAAGCUCAACAAAAGCAAUUAAAUUUAGGAAUCACGCCAUAACCUUCUUUAAACCCUCAUUGCAGCUUCAUCCAUUGACCCUAUUCCUUGUUUGGCCCCAGUCCUGGUCCUACUUCAGGAAUAUGUUAGGACCUAAUUAACAUCUGUUAGGUUAAUUAGUCCUUCAGGCAAUAAGGAGCCAAGAAGAUUGACACAAGCAAAAUAGUGGUGUCCAGGGUAGAUUUAAGAAGCUGUUUUAAUAAUGCGGUGAUACAGUGUUAAGAUCUUAACAGGUGUGAAAAAAUGAUGAAAAGGAAUAUAGUGGUUUUCUAAAACUAUUGUGAAAGAAAAGAUGUUUGUCCUUGGUACUGGAGGAAUUUAGACAAAAGGUUGCUCACUGGGGAAAAAAGUUUCAAGGAAGGAUUUGCAAAUAAAGUGGAGAUUAACGAGGCCUUAAAGACUGGGAAGUGUUAAAAUAACAUGGAUAAACAAAAUCCAAUUAAUAUUUAUGUGUUGCAUAUAUGGCAAAGAAGGUAAUUCCACACACCCAACCCCUUGAAACCCUUCCAACAACCUUGUGAGGUGGACUUUCGCCUCCCUUUUAAGUAGCUGUGAUCGAGCAGGGGCUGCCUGCUUCUAUGAUAAUCCCCCCAGAGAAUGUCUCUCACUAGGCAUUCAGUCUCUAAUGAAGUCCUUGUGGGAGGUGAACCAGUGGCUCUAUUUUAACUAGUCUUUGGUUUAACAGGCGGCUGUUUCGACGACAUGUCACGAUCCAUUCAGGGUGGGUUACUCAAGUGCCCAGUGGUUCUAGUACAGCUGGUACUUGCCCCAUGUCCCCAUAAAGAGAAGCAUCUAACAAAGGAUGUAAAGCAUGUUCCAAGCAGAGGCAUUUUGUUGGAUCAUCAGAGCAUUUUCUUUCUCAAGUUAAGCUAUUUUUUUUUUCAUUCAAAAUUCAGGAACUCAGACUCAAACCUCAAACUAAACUACUCCUCAUACUGAGAUGUAAAUUCUACACUUGAGGUGCUUCAACUAAGAUUAGAGGAUUUUUUUCCCCAAAAUGGAAAUGAUUUUCUCCAGCAAUUACUAUAAAGCACAGAUUACCAUUUCAUAAAGAGAGAACAAAAGAAGACACAGCUAUUUUGCACCCAUUGGCUGAUACCACAGAGAAGUCUUUGUGGGAAAAUCCAGCUUGAUUUAAAGCCUUGAAUAAAACAUAGGAUUAGGAUUGAUGACUAAGAAGAGGAGGGUCCUGGAAUGAUAAUAGCUCCCCUUUGAAUAGAAUUUUAUACCUCACAAGGUGUUUUCAUCUGUUUUAUUAUAUUUGACCUUCACAACAGCUGUAUAAUAUAGAACUUAUUGCAUGGUAUUUUUAAUCACUUAUUUACAAGUCUGUUUCUGGAUUAAACCUGAGCACUCCAAGGGCAGUAACUGGGAGUAUGUCCAAUGCUUGGUAUGGUGUCUGGGGCAGAGUAGGUGGGCUGGGAGUGUUAGGGAAAGGAAACAAAUUAGAAUGCUUUCCUUGAAUGCCUGGUAAACGGGUAUUAUUAACCUCUACUAUAGAUGCAAAACCCAAGGCUUAUGGAACUUCACUAAUAUGCCCAAGUCAAAUAAAAGGCAAAACAGUAUGCCCCAAAUAGGACCUUAGAUCCAGAGUCACACAUGCAAUACUGUCUGUGUGCUAGGUGCGCACAAAAACUAAGGGGCUAACAAGACACAUCCUUAUGGAGCAUCCAGGGAAAUGAUAACAACCAAGUUUGUAUCCUUAAAAUGACCUGAUCAUAAAUUCCAAAGCUCUCUAUCAACAUAUUGACCUGAAGAUUGCAGAGAUGAAUACUGAGGGACUGUAGAAUAAGAAAGUGUCCCCAGACUGUUAGAAUGGUUGCUGAAAAAAUGAUUUCUGCUUAGAAAAAAAGAUUCCUUUUGAUCUUAAAGUACCUCUGCCUAACAUAUUUAAUUUAAAUCUAAUGUGUGAAGAGUACCUUAGUUUUGAGGUUUGAAUCCUGGUUGUUAUCUACCACCAACGUGCUUAUUAUCUAUAUGAAGCUCCUGGCUUAAGGUAAUUUUUGAUUAUUUUUUCUUACUGGAUGUAAAUAGGCACCUGCCACAGAUAUAAAGUGCUAAGAAAGUUUCAGUCCUAUUCCCUUUGGGAUGCUUCAGAUGGUGAACGCACACACACACACACACUCUCUCUCUCUUCCUUGUGGCAAGGACACUUAACAUGAAACCUACCUCUUAACAGGUUUUUUUAGUGUACAAUACAAUAUGAUCCCUUCACACAUGUCAGGAUGGAUAAUAAUCGUAAAAAAAGAUAAAAAGUAUUGGUGGAUGUGGAGAAGAAGGAACCCUUGUGCACUGUUGGUGGGAAUGCAAACUGGUGCAGCCACUGUGAAAAAUGGUAUGAAAGUUCUUCAGGACAUUAAAAAUAGAUUACUGUAUAAUCCAGCAAUCCCAUUUCUGGGUAUAUGUCCAAGGGAAUUAGGAUAAGGAUCUCAAAGAGGGAUUAACACUACCAUAUUCACUGCAGCAUUAUUUGUAGUAGCAAAGAUGUGGAACACCUUAAAUGUCCACUGAUGGAUGAAUAGACAAAAUGUGUUUUCUUUCCAAAAAAGACAUCCAAAUAUCCAACAGUUAGAUGAAAAGGUGCUCAUCAUCACUAAUCCUCAGGAAAAUGCAAACUACAAUGUGAUAUCACCUCACACCUAUUAGAAUUGCUAGAAUCAAAAAGACAGGAAAUAAUUAGCAUUGGCAAGGAUGUGGAGAAAAGAGAACUCUCAUGCACCGUUUGUGAUAUGUAAAUUGGUGCAACCACUAUGGAAAACAAUAUGGAUAUUCCUCAAAAUAUAAAAAUAGAACUACCAUAUUAUCCAGCAAUCCCACUUCUCGGUAUUUAUCCAAAGGAAAUGAAAUCACUGUCUUAAAAAAAUAUCUACCACCCCAUGUUUACUGCAGCAUAAUUUAUAAUAUCCAAGACACAGAAACAACCUCAGUGUCAAUCAACAGAUGAAUGGAUAAGGAAAAUGUGAUAUAUAUAUAUAUAUAUAUAUACACACAUACAUACAAAAUACAUAUACAUACACACACAUAUACAUACACACACAUACAAAUACAAACAUACAAUGGAAUAUUAUUCAGCCAUUCCCAAGAUAAGGAAAUCUCACUGUUUGUUACAAUAUGAAUGAUGUGCAUGAAACGUGAAGGCACUGCGAUAAGUAAAAUAAGUCAGAGAAAGACAAAUAUUGCAUGAUAUCAUGUAAAUGUAGAAUCUAAAAACCCUGAACUAAUAGAUACAGAGAACAGAUUGGUGGUUGGUAGAGGAGGGAGCAGGUGGUGGGUGAAAUGGGUGAAGAGAUCCAAAAGGUAUAAACUUCUAGUUGUAAGAUAAAUAAGUCCUGAGGAUCUAAUGUACAGCAUAGUGACUAUAGUUAAUAAUAAUCUAUUGUAUAUUUGUAAGUUGCUAAGAGAAUAGAUCUUAAAAGUUCUCAUCACAAGAAAAAAAAUUGUAAGUGUGUGGUGAUGGACAUUAACUAAAUUUAUUGUAAUCAUUUUGAGAUAUAUAUACAUCUAUAUCUCAAAUCAUUAUGUUGUACACCUACAACUAAUACAAUUUUAUAUGUCAAUUUUAUCUCAAUAAAAAAAGAAAUUCUAUCCUUUUAGUAUUCAAACAACUUCUUACAUGUAUCCUAUACACUAUUAUCUUGUUUAUGUCAAUCUGCCUGGUUCACAGAUGACAGAAAUCUUUUUCUGGCUUCUCAGAAAAUUAAUUAGGUAGGUGCAUAUAAAAAAUAACAGAUGUUCCUGAUUAAUAUUUACUUUUGUCUUUUUCUUGCAGUAUACUGCCUUCUGUAUGUGUAUCUGAUCUCAUUUAAAUUAUUUUACUACUUUAAAAUAUCCAUCUAUAUGUAUUUUCAUAUACAUGUUAUUUUUAAUUCCUCAAAACAAUAUGUGAGGCAGUUCUCAACAUCAUGUCUAUUUUAUGGAUUAUAAAGCUGAUGCUUACAGAGAUUCAUGGGAUUUAUGUGCACAAAGGUAGAAAAUAUUUAAGGUGUAAAAUCUUGAUAUGUAGGAUACUAAAGCCUAUGUCUUUCCAUUGGCUUCUGAUUCUAGGAGUAUGGAAGACAUAGUGUCAUAAAAGCAUAGUCUCCCCUUUGAAGGCAUGUUAAGUAUAAUGACAAAAAAUUGUUAGGUGUAGAAACCCUAUUUCAUAGAUCUCUGUCUAGCAUGAAGCAUAGAGCUUUAUGCAUAAUAAGUGGUGAAUUAACAUUUAACAAAAUAAAUAAUCCUUACAUUGAAAAGUCAGUUCAAAAUGACUCAUGAAACAUAGAGUUAGAUGAAAUAGUGAUUCAAGUUUACAGAGCAUUCAGCUCUGUGGAAUAGUUUGCCCUUAUUUUGGUAUUAUCCACCUGAGGGAACAUGGCAGUAAGAUUCGGUGGACAUUGCAAGAUUUUAUCCAUAUUUUGCUGUGGGUAUAAAAGUAGCGAGUAUGCCUCUAGCAUUGACUUCUUCCUUUAGAGCUUAGGAAUGUGAACUGAUAACUCCAAGGCUGCUCCCUUUGUGGUAUUUGUCAUAUCAGAGACUGUUCUGAUUUCCUUCUUCCCUUUUACAGGAAAUUGUAAGCUAUUAAAUCUUUUGUCUCAAAAUAUAUACAAAUAUUUAUAUUUGUACAUAACUACUACAUUAUCAUAUAUAUGUAUUUCAUGGACAAGGACAGCAGCCUUACAAAAGAUUUUGGCCAGCUCCUUGCCUGCCCUCCCCUCCCACCCCAACCCCCCCAACAAAAAGGAUGUUAGACAAGAUGAGGACAGUAAGUGAGAUGAGAGAGCCAGGGAAACCAAGCAGUCCCAUUACUAUUUUGAAUUAUGCUACAGGCUGAAAGAAGUAGAAUAUACUUACAGUAAUUUUCUGUUUCCAAAAGAACAGGUGAUUAUUUUGGAAAAAUAAGCAAAGGAAAUUAGGACUCUGGUUUAUAUUUGUGUAGUUGUGGCACUUACCAAAGUUAAGUAUUUCUAGUCUAUUCACAAGACAUUAGCUGAACUAAUUUUUUGUCAGACUUAUAAAAUAUUUCCCUAAGAAAUUUCUUUUUUUUUAAUUUUUAAUAUUUAUUUAUUUUUGAGAGAGAGACAGAGCGUGAGCAGGGUAGGGGCAGAGAGAGAGGCAGACACAGAAUGAGAAGCAGGUUCUAGGCUUUGAGCCAUAAGCACAGAGACUGAUGUGGGACUCAAACUCACAAACGGUGAGCUGACAUCAAGAGUCAGAUGCUUCACAGAGUAUGCCCCUGGAUCACAGAUUUAACACCUUAAUGUAGCCUAAUGCUCCUGCAGUUUCCAUCAGAAUGAGUUUUGUUCCUUUAUUAAGAUUGUCAGUUUUUUAGGGUGGAAAUUAUUCCAUACUUUCUGGAACACCCCAUGGUCCCUAAAACAGUGCAAUCUACAUACAGAGAAGUUCUUCUUUCUUGUACUAUUUCUUGUUCUUAUUUCUUGUACUAUUAUUGAUUGACUGAAUUAACAGUCCCAGAACACUUUUGGAUUCUGAGGGUAGAAAAUUGAACAAGACAUGAUUUUGCCCUUAAAAACCUUAAGUUCAGUGGGAAGAGACAGGUGACCAGAGAUAACAUGCAAUAUCAGAGGUAAACUCAAAAUACUUUAGAAUUAUGAGUUUGGUCAGAUGUAAAAUAGAUUGUAGAAAUUUGAGAAAGCUUUCAAAGAGGAAUUGACAUUAGGUUUGGGUUUUGAAAACUGAGUAAGAGUUUACCAGGGAGAACAGGAAUGGGGGUUGGAGAAGAUGGAUACAAGGAGAAAGGAAGGGCAAUCCAGGUAGAAACACAGCAUGUAUGAAGGUGUGAAAUUGUAGAAAGGAGUCAGCGUGUUUGGAGAAUGGUAAGAAAUUUGGGGUGUCUGAAAAAGAAGACACAUGUACUGAAACAGAGGGAAUAAAAGUCAAAGAGUUAGAGUUAGUGUGGGAAGAUCCCUCUAUUCUGAGUGCAUGGGUUUAGAUUUUAUCCCAGGUGGCAGAUAUCAUAGUGGUUACAGUGUGAAUUCCAGAAUCAAACUGAGUUUGUCUCCAGUGUGGACUUUAUUAUUUACCUUUUUAAAGAUUAAAUAAGAGAUCAUACAGGUAAAGCACUUAUACUAGUGUCUUGUGUAUCUCCAAUAAAAGUUAGCUGCUUUUAUAGGUAACCAUGGAAGAACAUGAAUUUUAAAGCAUAGAAGUUAUACCAUUGAAUUAAUUUUGUUGAUGUUACUAUUUUAUUUUACAUACUUUUCCAGAAUUGACUGUUGGGAAAACACCCAUGAUGGCAGGUGGAGAAUAGAAGACAAAAAGCAAACAAAAAAAGGGACUUUCUAAGUAGCCUUGGGUAACAGUAAUACUAAAUAAAAUCUAUUGAAUGCCUUCUGUGUGCCACACAGUCUGCUAAGUGUUGUGCUUGCAUUAUCUCAUUUAAUUUUCACAGGAUUAUAUAGUAAGGGGAGUGCUAUAUUAUUAUCUUCAUUUUAUAGAAAAUAGAGAUUAAGGAAGUAAAAUGGCACCUCCAGGUCACACUGACUAGUGCCGGAACCAAGUUUUAAGGUCUUUGAUUUCAGAAUUUUCGCUAAAACAUUUUAAUAUUAGGUUAUUGGAUAUCCCUGGACAUCAUUUUCCUCAUCUGUACUAUGGAAAGGUCAUUCUUGGGAGAAUUGAGUGCAUAACCAAUGAGAAGGUACUGCUACAGUGUCUGAUGUAUAAUAAUUACAGCAACGGUAGUAACUGAUAUUGUUACCUGUUUUAGAAUGUCUCUAUAAGUUGGAACAUUAAUUUGAAACUGACUUUGGGGAGGAAUGAAGAGAAGACUACUGCAGCAUUCCUAUCAUUAUGAAACUAGCUGGCUUCAUAGUAGAAAGAAAGAACGUUGCUCUUCUGUGGCUCUGAAUUUUGUAUAACUGUGUGUAGUCCUUUUCAACACUCAAUUCAGGUUAAUAUUAUUUUGUUUAUUUUACUCCUAAUUCUGUUUGCACUGGCAUAAGCUGUACUUUCUGACAUUAAAUGAGGAUUUAAUUAGACACAUACAUGUUCCUGUGGGACAGGGGUUACUGCUGCAUUGCAAUUAUCUUUUCUGAUGUUGUUCCCCCAUGGACUAUAGAUUUGCAAGGGCAUUAGUCAAGUCUUGGUCAUCUAUUUAUCUCCAGAGUCCUGUAAGUGCUUGGCUCAUGGUAGGUGCUUAAUGAGUGAGCAUAACACCAAGGAAGAAAUCAGUGAAUUAAUGAAAGGCAAAACAAUCUUAACACAGACGUCACAAUUUGGGAUUGCUUUUGAAAUCUGAGUUCCUGGUGAUUAUGACAUCACUGUUACUAGAUUCUCUAAAGGCUCUAGUAGACAUUUAUUAUACCCACUAAAAUUAGAUGCUGCAUCUACUAGGUAAAAAUCAGUGACUCAGGUGGUUGAUAUCAUGACAUUGCAACAGUAAAAGUAACCUCGCACCACCCUCCUCCCUUCAAGCACUGAUGGGACACUGUAGAUCAGUCUAUUUCAUUUGAUUAGGGAGCUCUUUUUCAAAGAGAGACUGAGAGGCUCAGAAUGUCUGUGCCUCCCCCCCUUCAUGGGAUACAUCGUGAGUGCUUCAGAAUGCAGACUCCAGUGAGCACUCUGAUGGAAUGGCCCUGCUGAGACAGGAGAUAAUAACAUUCAUUGUUGAGGUUUUAGCCAUCCCUGAGGUGGACUCUCUCAGUAUGAACUCACACGAUAACAGGGUUUAGAGAGUUUCCGGUUCUUAGAGCACCUCCCUGUUUAGGACUCUCUUUCACUUCUCCUGCAAUCAGGAGGUCUCUGAUCUGAAACACACUUAGACUGUCCACUGUGAAAAUAUGAAAAGAUGACAAGUUAUGCUAGAUUCAGAUGGAAAGAAAAAAUAAAUUCACAUAAAAGGAAAACAACAUAAUAUUUCAGGAAGCUAGUGUGCUAUGGAUGCAUAUAAUGUUCUUAGUCUUUUCCAAAUGUGGGGGUGGAGGGAAAAGGGGGAAGUGACGGACUAUCUCUAAGGCCCUGUCAUUGUUUCAGGGAAGAUAAUAGUGUUCAGCUCUAGGGCUACAUGUACUGUAAAACUCUUUCCCUGCUGGUUACUUGGCUCUGGAAGAAGAGUUCAGGCAUGAAUUCACCAGGUCCUGUCCUGUUCAUAGCUUCAACAUAGAAAACAUAGGCAAAUAAGGUGCAGGGACACACUCCUCUGGUUUUCUGUGGUGGUUUGAGCUUCCCUCAGCACCUCCCUGCCAGGGCUGGUUGGUUGGUUAUGGCCAGAGAUCCAGCCCAGAUCUUUGCAGAGUGAAUGUGCUUGACUAUGACCCUGGGAAGCAAUUGGGGGAAGGAGUGGGAGCAGACAAGAAAAAGGACCUCAUCAGUGGAUGUUAAAAGUAUCUGUAAAAGUUGAUUAGGUUUUCUUUCCCAGCCCUUCCAUUCAAUUCCAGAGGGAGAAAACUGGGAUUAACUAUUCUAACCUCUUAUUUAGAAACAGUUUACAUUGCAGUUGUCUCCUCUCUGAUAUCUUUUCUCUUAAUAUUCAUUUUAAACUUAUUUCUCCUGGGGUGCCCGGGUGGCUCGGUUGGUUAAGCAUCUGACUCCUGAUUUCUGCUCAGGUCAUGAUCUCACAGUUUUGUGAUGGAGCCCCGUGUUGGGCUCUGGGCUGAGCAUGGAGCCUGCUUAAGAUUCUCUCCCUCUGCUCCUCCCCUCCUUGCAUAUGCAUGUGCUCUCUCUCUUUCUCUCAAAGAAUAAAAAAUAAAAAGGGUUCCUGGGUGGCUCAGUGCAUUAAGCAUCCAACUCUUAAUUUUGGCUCAGGUCAUGGUAUCUUGGUUCAUGAACUUGAGCCCUGUAUUGGGCUCCAUGCUGGCAGUGUGGAACCUACUUAGGAUUUUCUUUCUCUCCCUCUCUCUCUCUGUCCCUUGCCCCCCACCCUCUCUCUCAAAAUAAAUAAAUGUAAAAAAUAAAUAAAAGUAAAUUAAAAAGAUAAACUUAUUUCUCCUGGAUAAAUGUCAUUGUGUGUGUAUGUGUGUAUUUAUGUGAACAAAUAUGAAGUUGGAAAAAAAUACUCAAUGGUCUUAGACAUUUUGGCCUCUCCUUUUAUGUGUCGCUAGGCCUUUUCUCUUCCCUAAAGGCUGAAGGGCUCCCUCUCCCUCCCAUUCACUUUCACUUUCUUCCAUCAGUUUUUAUUCAAUGCUAAAGAAAUAGUAAGGAAGAAAAAGUAGGAAGGGAAAACCAUUUAUUCUCAAUGAAUUAUGCUUAUCCGUGGGGCUGAGGUUGGUCAUUCCAACAGAACUAUCCUUACUGUUGCAUGCAUUAGUCUCCUAUGCCUCACCAGGAUGUAAUAAGCCCUUGUCAUUACCUUGGCUAUAUCCAAACAAGUGAGGAAACAAAGGUAACUAUUAUCUUGCUAUUAUAGAGAAACUUGGACUAUUCUCAGUGUAGAUAUGUUGAAUUGCUAUCUCUGUAGAUCUGGACCUGAUCCAGGAAGGCUUGGUCCAGUUG
Molecule: long non-coding RNA, 21606 nt
Filed under: Lynx pardinus (Iberian lynx)
Lineage: Eukaryota; Metazoa; Chordata; Mammalia; Carnivora; Felidae
Source: RNAcentral